CUCUCAUCCUGCCCCCAGAAUAGGGAGCUGUGGAGAGAAGAGUCACUCAAAAGCUAUCUUCCUAUUCACAAAUGAACACAUAACAGUAAAGGAAGGCACUUGGUAUAAUGGAGUUGGCAUAAAUCUCAGUCCUGUUUCCCAUGUCUCAGACAUUUCACAGAAGCUUCAAAAUACUCUGGACAGAUUAGGGUGUGGAUGGUCUAGAUUUAGAGACCUGUCAUCCACCAACAACCCUCUGGCACUUAGUCAUUUCUUUUGUACCCAUAGCAGAGUGGAUAAAGGUAUGAUUUGUAGUCAGACAUAUGUGACUCCAAAUUCAGGCUCUAUCUCUUGCUAAUCUUGUGAGCUUGGGAAAAAUACUUGGCUUCUCUCCACCUCGGGUGCCCCAUUUAUAAAACAGGACAACUUAGCACUCAGUGAAUACACAGAGCUUAGCACAUGGUUACCACUUAAGGCAAAUACUAUGCUUGUUUCCUGCUAUAUUGCCUUGUCCAGGGCACAGAGAAGAUGGCACGUCACAGACUAAUACAAUUGGGACCAUGUCACUGAGCUCUGGAUGCAAGCAGAAGUAAUUUAAGCCACUUCCAGACCCUGCUAUAAAGGUUCUCUCUUCCUCCAUAUCUCUCCGGCAAGCCUUGAAGUCAUGUAUAGGCCUGGGCCCCUGUCAGCUUGGGCAUCUAUGAGAAGCAAGGCCUACCCACCCACCAACAUCAAACACAGAGCAUGAGAGUUCAAGUCCUCCAAGAAGCAGACACCAAGACAGAGUUAGAAGCACAAGAGAUUUAUGGGAGGAAGCCCCUGCAAUAGAUAAAGAGGACAGGAAGCAGGAGUAAGGAGUGAGAGCCUGGAGGCCGUGAUGCAGGUCCGACACACUCAGAAGGUAAGGGCAGAGGUGGAGGAUUGGGUAGCAGGAGUCUCAGACUGUAUGGUGCAGCUUUGUGGAGCUCUAGGCCAAGGGAACCCAUAGCAAAGACGGCCCACAGGGUAGUCCUGUAUUGCGCAGAAACAGCCCACCUCUAAGCUCCCCAAGGUCCUCAGUUGUUGGCUGGGAGCAAACUAGGGAGAAUGUGGCCUUAAGGUGAGCAAUGCCCUGGACCCCAAAGGUGGAGCUGGAGACUGUCAGCUAACUGUGCCUCUUACCUUGGGGUCUUUUUUGAAGGAAGGUCUAAGAAAUGCAUUUCCAAGGUUGCCUGAACCUCUCAAUAAAUAAUAGCUAUAUUUUACCAUCCCACAGUGUGUUUUCUCUCUCUCUCUCUCUCUCUCUAAUGUGUCAUUAAUCAAGGGUGUCAGCCUCUCUAGAAAGUGAGCUCCUUGGGGGCACCAUCAAUGGCUUCAUUGUGAUUACAGUUUAGUGUUUGGUUGGUAUGUAGUAAGAGCUUAAUAAACGGCAACUGGAAGAGUAAGUAACUGAGUGACAGCGUGAAAGUCCUUAGAAGAGUGUAGCUAACUCCUAGGAGGUUACUGUUGAGAGGACCUAUCUUGAGCAUAGUGAGCUGUUUCAUUCAGACUGAGGUAUACCCGCUUCACACACCUAAAGUCAUAUGUCAGAGCGGGACCCAGUGCGGGAAGUUUGUAUGCUCCAAAGUGCCUCAGGCUACAGAGGGAAAAAAAAAAAACUGUAAUGUAUCUCUUCCCCCUAAGAAGUCCUACACAGCUCUCCAGGAGCUUUAGGUUUGCUGCAUUCAGUUAGGGAAAAUGAGAAAAAGUCAGAGACACAAGCAGAAGGAAGAUGAAAACACAGUGCAAAAUGGCAAAGCAAAGACUACGAAAGUAAGGAAGCCUUCCGGGAGCUCUGAGGGCUUAGCAGCCCCAUCAGAAGUGCACGGAAUAUUAGAAGCAGAGAGGUAGGUGUCUUUUAAGAUGUGGCUUUUUUGAGACAUCUCAGUUCAAACCCUGAAUAUCUGCCUGACCCCAGACAACUCACUUAACCUCUCUGGCACUGAGAAUCACAUUUCAUGAAGGGAGGGAUCCUGUCUGCCUUGUUUAUGCUUUGUCCCCAGUGCCCAGCGUAGUUCUGGGAGCAUGACUGACACUCAAGCUAUGUCAUAGUAAGGUCUUGGAAUUGGAGUCAGACGGUCUGGAUUUGAACUCUGGCUGACAUUUACCAUGGGAACUGAGACGGUGAAAUAUAAUUGGCAAAUUUAAAUCCAUGCAAAAGGAUUAAUGCCUUGUGGAAAGAAGUGCAGGUGAAUAGAAAUGCUGGAGGUGGAUCCCAAGAUCUAAAGUCAAGGACUGGAUCAGGGAAGUCACUGGACAACUUUGAGCUUAAUUAAUCUCAUCAAGAAAUAUAUAUAAAGAUUAACUUCUCCAUCUUCCAUGUGUUGUGAGAAUCAUUGAGAAACAGCAAUACAUUGUAUUAGAAUAAAGACAGUGUAUAAAAACCAAGAAGAUAUGCCUCACUCACUAUCAUCACCAUCCUCACCAUCACGAUAUGAUCAUCACCAUUUUUACUCCAUUAGUGCCUUAAAUGUUUUCCAUGUUGUACUGCUGCCACCUAAUGGCAGAGCUGAAUGAAUGUGAAGCUUCCUUCAAGUCACAUACUCUGGUUUUGCCUUUUCUUAAAUCUGUAUUCACCUGGACUGAAGUCAGAAAAUGUACAGGCUGGAAAAAAAUAAACAGAAAUGACUGCACUUGUUAUACUUGGCAAGUAGAAUUCUGCCCCAACCUUGAAUAAAUGGGGCAGAAAUGAGCCCCAGGUCUAGAUUAAGGGAACGCCCACCAGGUGGUCUUAUCCAUUUUUCAUUAGUCCAAAUGUGUUUUGUAUGUAACAAACCAUGCUCCUAUUAACUUCCAGACAUAAAAUGAAAACAUUUAGAGCAAGCUGUGGACUGAUUAUCAGAAUUGGAGGGAGUGUGGCAUUUUGAAACUCUUGAGACAGAAGACUGGGUCUACUGGUGUAAGGAGCUGUAGCGGCAACUGGUUGCAGGAAUUGUACAUAUGGCCUUGCAGAACAUCUUUCCAAGGCGUCUCAGACUGUGUGGUCACUCUCAAAAGGACAACAGUUUUACUCCCAGAAUUUAUGAAGAGACAAAGGCUCUGACUCCUCUUUGGUUUCCUUCUUAAAACAUUCUACUUAGACAUUCCACAGGGCAAUAAAAACUAAUAACUAGCCGUUUGCACUUUUCAUUUCCAUGGUAACUUUCCUACGUAGGUAUUCCAAAGUUCUUAUAAAAAUAGGGAAUGCCGAUUGACCUACAUCCAGGAAAUGAGGCGAUAGUUUUAUUUCAGGUCCUUAAGCAGAAACCUACCCAUUUUCAUAUGAGUAUCUGUCUGCAGAAAGUCAAUGGGGCUCUAAGUGCAAGGACAUUGUCCCACACACUUGGACAGAAAUAAAGCAGCUGGAGAAGACUGCUGAAUUCAGGCUUCUCUCCAACAGUGAAGAAAGCCCAACCUGGCAUGGUGAAAGAACCCCUCUAUCACAAUAUAACUUGGGAUUCACGAAGAUGGCAGAAGAUUUUGGAGAAUGACUGGAUUUACUAUCUUACAGAACAAGAACUAAAUAUAUUUUAAUGUACAUGAAACUGCAAACAAAUUUUCAAUAUGAUAGAGAGUCUGAGUGAAAAAUGAAAAUCCAUACUUAAAGUAGAGGAGGACAGAAAUAGAAAUUGUUACAUUGAAAGAAUCAAUCUGAACUCAUCAUUUUAAACAGGAAAUAUAUUUUCCAUCCCUGUCAAUGAUCCAAAACCAGCAGCUUCACCUUUUCCCAACACUCACGUCUAAUUCUGGUCUGUGCAACCAAUUGGUCAGCAGCCCAGACUCUUCAUCUUAGCUAGUCUGGGAGACUAUUAUUUUUCAGUUGAGAGUGCUAAGAUUAUCACAAGCCUAGGAUGAAAAUAGAAUACUGUAUGUGGUAAAUUUACUGUAAUUCUAGAAAGAUAACUCUGAGAAGAAACCAAAAUUAAGGUGUAAGAAUAAGAAUGGAAAUAAGAAUUACAAUGAAAAUAGAAAUAAGAAUAAAAAUAACAUGAGAAUAAAGACGUGGAACAUGACAUUUCAAUUCAUGUUAUUUGCAUUAUGGUAGUAAGUUUUAUUGUAAGUGUGUUAAUGUAUUAAUCACUGAAGUAUUUUGUAUGUCUUCUGUCUGCAUCCUAGCAUGUUUAAAGCAUUUUGAAAAAUUUCUGGAGAUGUGUGCUUUUAAUUAAAUCAUCAGAAGGGUUUUAUGGGACAAAUUUAACUUUGCAGCCAAUGUCUAAGAAUUUGGGAAAAUUCAUUGAAUCAAUAUGUUUUUAUUUAUCAUAAUCUACCAAUAUGUGAAUAUUUAAAAGAAUGUUUAUUAUUUAUUGCUUAAAAAUAAUUGGUUGAUAAAUUCAAAAUAUCAAGAAUUUAGACAUUAG
This 4334-nucleotide long non-coding RNA is filed under the name Homo sapiens (human). RNAcentral describes it as "HSALNT0213788". The record is from RNAcentral. Lineage: Eukaryota; Metazoa; Chordata; Mammalia; Primates; Hominidae.